This 77-nucleotide transfer RNA is filed under the name Alicyclobacillaceae bacterium I2511. RNAcentral's name for it is "Firmicutes bacterium I2511 tRNA-Met". It matches the Rfam family "tRNA". From Rfam's summary of the family: Transfer RNA (tRNA) molecules are approximately 80 nucleotides in length. Their secondary structure includes four short double-helical elements and three loops (D, anti-codon, and T loops). Further hydrogen bonds mediate the characteristic L-shaped molecular structure. tRNAs have two regions of fundamental functional importance: the anti-codon, which is responsible for specific mRNA codon recognition, and the 3' end, to which the tRNAs corresponding amino acid is attached (by aminoacyl-tRNA synthetases). tRNAs cope with the degeneracy of the genetic code in two manners: having more than one tRNA (with a specific anti-codon) for a particular amino acid; and 'wobble' base-pairing, i.e. permitting non-standard base-pairing at the 3rd anti-codon position. The record is from RNAcentral. Lineage: Bacteria; Bacillati; Bacillota; Bacilli; Caryophanales; Alicyclobacillaceae.
GGCGGCGUAGCUCAGCUGGUCAGAGCACACGGUUCAUACCCGUGCUGUCGGUGGUUCGAAUCCACUCGCCGCUACCA